GAUGAACGCUAGCUACAGGCGUUAACUAACAUGCAAGUCGAGGGGCGAGCAUGGUCGUUAGUCUUGUCUAAGGCCGAUGGCGGACCGGCGCACGGGUGGAGUAACACGUAUCCAACCUGCCGUCUACUCUUGGACAGCCUUCUGAAAGGAAGAUUAAUACAAGAUGGCAUCAUGAGUCCGCAUGUUCACAUGAUUAAAGGUAUUCCGGUAGACGAUGGGGAUGCGUUCCAUUAGAUAGUAGGCGGGGUAACGGCCCACCUAGUCUUCGAU
RNAcentral lists this ribosomal RNA (270 nucleotides) under uncultured bacterium. RNAcentral describes it as "partial 16S ribosomal RNA". It matches the Rfam family "Bacterial small subunit ribosomal RNA", at positions 28 to 280 of the family's 1533-position model. The record is from RNAcentral.